UUCAGAAUAUGUUACUUUUAUUGAGUAACGUAACGGAAUAUGUUACAAAAUACAUUUUGGGACAUGUAAUCUGUAAUGGAAUACAUUUUAAAAGUAACCUUCCCAACACUGAAUAUAGGCAUGAGGAUACAAAAUUCAAAAAGAAUGCUGGAUAUGCCAUAAAUUGGCCAAAACACUGGUGGUGGUGUGGCUUGUGCAUGAGCGGAACAAAGAUUUCAUUGUACACUGGGCAAGGAUUCAUUUCAAAGUGACGAAACUACAUGAGUGAUGUCGCAAACAACCAAGCCUGUACUUGCACCUGGAAUCUUUCAUCCAGUUCCAAGUACUAGUGCGGUCUCAAAGUUUGUUACUUUGAUACGGAACCAGCAUGCGUUUACUGCUGCUAAACUUAAUAUAUACAAACAAAUUAAAAGUAAUAUUCAAUAUUAUUUGAUAACUAUAUGAAAAUAAUGAGCGUUUACAUAAGAAAUUCAGCUAUUACUGAUGUUACAGUGUGCAAGCAACAUACAGAAAUCCCAGCUGGCGAAUUUAAACCUAGGACGUGUAUCAAACAUAUUGCAACAUGAAAUUGAAAGAUUUUUUAAAUUGUAACCAUUUAUAAAUGUAUACCAUCAGGAUCAGCUGAGUGCUUGAAUGCCAGUCAACCAAUUAUUCAUUAUGCAAUGAUGUUAUACAACCAGCAGUAUUGGCAUGUAACGUCACGGAUGAUUCUAGUCGUGUAUGUAUAGCAGUUUUUUCAGACUGAUAGAAAAUGUAAUUUCUAUAUCAACUUUUGAGAGAAAGAUCACAAAGUGCUUCACAACAAAAUACCAGAGCAUUAAAAAAAGAAAAGAAAAAAAUUUAAACACAGGAAUAAUCUCCUAUAGAUUGUCUUUUAUCUCACCUGUCAUGAUCACGUUAGAGUUUUCUUAGUUGCUUUUUGGUUUAAGUAUGCUUCCUGUCUGAGUUCUGUUCUUUUUUUCCCUUUGAAUUUUCAGGUAUUUCAUGGUCCUGGGUUCUCUAACCCAAUGUUUUUCAUUUGUGGACUUUCUAUAUCUACUUAUUAUUCCUUCACGUCUUAGUUUGCUUUUUACAUGUUAUUCUUCAGUCUUUGUUUCAUGACUUCUGUUGGAUGAGUUUUAUUACAACUUUUGUGGAGCAAUUGGAGUUGAAUUGGUUUUGCGAUCUGCGAUUACUUUUUAGUUUUCGAUGAGCAGGAAUUAAAGGCUUGCCAUUUUUCUACACUUGUGUCACGUGUUCUGAAUAUUGGCUAUACAGCUUCAUGUAUGAGACAAUGGUGGAAGGCUGCCUCCCUGAGCCUGGUUCUGCUGGCGGCUUCCUCUUUUUUAAUAGGGAGUUUUUCCUUCCCACUGUUGCCAAGUGCUUGAAUAAGAAUUGUGUGAUUGUAGGAUCUUUACCUUACAAUGAGAACCUAUAUAAAUACUAGCUAAACUGAAAAAAAAAAAAGAAGAAAACAGUUUUCAUUAAAUACCAAUGCUAGAAGUUCUAUAAUCUUGUAUUUGUGUAUCUUUCCAAUUAUAUCUCUUGUGGUGACUGCCUAUAAAAUGUCUAACAUUGUGUAAUUUUUACACAUUUGAAAAUGAGUGUGAUUGUGUUACAAAACUCACUUCAGUUGCAGAGUUAAUGACCUCAACAUCCUCCACUCCAGAGGAUGUUGAGGUCCUCUGAUAAUAUAUUAGAUAAUAUAAAAGCAUAAGAGAAAUCUUGCAUAAUCUACCAUAUCAGCAUGUUCAAACAUCUCAUGACGUGUAAGAAAGAGCAGAAAUGUUAGUGUGAAUUUUUAUGUCAUGAAUAGGACACAUGUGGUCACAUGUGUAAGUGUGGCACAAAGAAAUCAAGGCAUAUAAAGAAGCAGAUUCUUACCCUUGCCCAUACUAACACUGGGAGAUGUGAGGAACGUGGUGACAUGAGUACCCUAUAUCAGUGCACAACAAACCUAUUUAAAUAAGUGGUAUGUGGGCAUGCUAACACCAACACUUAAAUACUGCAGAAUGCAUGCCCGAGAUAUAGAUUUUACAUAACGUUCAUAUGGCUUUAAAUUCAGAAUUAACAGUUAAAGGUACUUUAAAUGUCAAUUCUCUGUUCAUUCUAACAUUAUAACACAAAUCUACAUCCCAGUAAACCAUGUGUUUGUUACUACAGGUCCAACAUGACUGUGAAUGAAACCACUGACAGUAAACCCAGUGCCCUGCCACCACAAAGCAGGUAAAAAAAAAUAAAAUAAUAAAAAAUCAUAAAAAAAAAUCUACCAUACAAUGCUACAGGCCAUACUGUACCUGAGCUUUUUAACAUAGACUCUGGCACAGUGAAAAAUUGUCCUGUAGUACGACUAGAAUUCAUAAGAAUUUAGCGAUUCUGAUUCCAUUAUC
Long non-coding RNA from Astatotilapia calliptera (eastern happy), 2369 nucleotides. Lineage: Eukaryota; Metazoa; Chordata; Actinopteri; Cichliformes; Cichlidae. The record is from Ensembl.